RNAcentral lists this ribosomal RNA (433 nucleotides) under uncultured bacterium. Its description in RNAcentral is "partial 16S ribosomal RNA". It matches the Rfam family "Bacterial small subunit ribosomal RNA", at positions 29 to 507 of the family's 1533-position model. The record is from RNAcentral.
AGCGAACGCUGGCGGCAGGCUUAACACAUGCAAGUCGAGCGGGCCCUUCGGGGUCAGCGGCAGACGGGUGAGUAACACGUGGGAACGUACCCUUUGGUUCGGAAUAACGCUGGGAAACUAGCGCUAAUACCGGAUACGCCCUUUUGGGGAAAGGCGUGCUGCCGAAGGAUCGGCCCGCGUCUGAUUAGCUAGUUGGUGGGGUAAUGGCCUACCAAGGCGACGAUCAGUAGCUGGUCUGAGAGGAUGAUCAGCCACACUGGGACUGAGACACGGCCCAGACUCCUACGGGAAGCAGCAGUGGGGAAUAUUGGACAAUGGGCGCAAGCCUGAUCCAGCCAUGCCGCGUGAGUGAUGAAGGCCUUAGGGUUGUAAAGCUCUUUUGUCCGGGACGAUAAUGACGGUACCGGAAGAAUAAGCCCCGGCUAACUUCGUG